Molecule: small nucleolar RNA, 129 nt
Filed under: Mola mola (ocean sunfish)
Lineage: Eukaryota; Metazoa; Chordata; Actinopteri; Tetraodontiformes; Molidae
Description: Small nucleolar RNA SNORA55 (ENSMMOG00000003733.1)
Rfam family: Small nucleolar RNA SNORA55
About the family: ACA55 is a member of the H/ACA class of snoRNA that guide the sites of modification of uridines to pseudouridines.
Source: Rfam by way of RNAcentral
GCACCUCAGCAACCCGGUCAAUCAUGUGAAGUGUUUGAUGCGGGCAUAGAUGGUGCUACAGAGAUUCAAUGUAAAUCCAGAUGGACCUCCUCUUCCCGUGGAGCCUGUCUCUACAACUUUGACACACAA